Long non-coding RNA from Carassius auratus (goldfish), 669 nucleotides. RefSeq lists it as uncharacterized. NCBI's taxonomy places the organism in Eukaryota, Metazoa, Chordata, Actinopteri, Cypriniformes, Cyprinidae. The record is from RefSeq and is a predicted model, not a curated record. The transcript is spliced from 3 exons.
UGGUGCUUUCUCAGGACAUUCCCACAUAAGUGAGCUCACACCAGGAACACAGAUGGCUGAUCUUUAGAAAUGUUUUUCAACUUAAGAAGCAAGUUCAUUGAUCUUUAUUUGAACUUAAAGUGCAUUUAUCUCAAACUAAAUUAAAAGAGCUAUAGCUUGCAGUGGUGUGAUUCAUAAAGGACUGGCUGAGAGAAGCAGUGUGGACACAGGAGACCGCAGGCUAGCAUUGCAAACCUGGUCUUUAUGAGGGAUCCGAUCUCUGUGGAUACAGCAGGGAGAUUCACCAUCCCACAUUCUCUCUGAAGUUCCCGUGAAUCAGACGAGAAACCCGGUCUUGUUUUUGCAUUGAUAACAGGAAGUGGGUGUUGCUUUUAUUCCGUAUUUGUGCACAAAUGCACACACUCGACUCUCAGUUGGGAUUAGGGAGUAAAGGAAGCUGGAAGCAUCUGCAGAGGAUAUGUGUGGCAUCCUUCCUCAGUGGUCCUGGAAACAGAGGAACGGAAACCUGGAGGAAGUUCCCCCAUGUGACAAGUCCAAAGGAGGACGUCAAUGCAAAAUAGCAAAAGGAAAAAAGAAGCUCAAAACCAUGAACAAAGCUAUCUAUCUAUCUAUCUAUCUAUCUAUCUAUCUAUCUAUCUAUCUAUCUAUCUAUCUAUCUAUCUAUCUAUC